RNAcentral lists this ribosomal RNA (429 nucleotides) under Verrucomicrobiota bacterium. Its description in RNAcentral is "Verrucomicrobia bacterium partial 16S ribosomal RNA". It matches the Rfam family "Bacterial small subunit ribosomal RNA", at positions 355 to 776 of the family's 1533-position model. The record is from RNAcentral. Lineage: Bacteria; Pseudomonadati; Verrucomicrobiota.
UAGGGAAUCUUCGGCAAUGGGGGGAACCCUGACCGAGCAACGCCGCGUGAGUGAAGAAGGUUUUCGGAUCGUAAAGCUCUGUUGUUAAGGAAGAACGAGUGUGAGAAUGGAAAGUUCAUGCUGUGACGGUACUUAACCAGAAAGGGACGGCUAACUACGUGCCAGCAGCCGCGGUAAUACGUAGGUCCCGAGCGUUGUCCGGAUUUAUUGGGCGUAAAGCGAGCGCAGGCGGUUAGAAAAGUCUGAAGUGAAAGGCAGUGGCUCAACCAAUGUAGGCUUUGGAAACUGUUUAACUUGAGUGCAGAAGGGGAGAGUAGAAUUCCAUGUGUAGCGGUGAAAUGCGUAGAUAUAUGGAGGAACACCGGUGGCGAAAGCGGCUCUCUGGUCUGUAACUGACGCUGAGGCUCGAAAGCGUGGGGAGCGAACAGG